GAGACUGAUCCAGCUGCACCGAGAACAGACGGCGUCACUUAUGGACAGAUAGUCAUCAGACCAAACAACAGGAGAGAGUGUCCACCAGAACCAGUGGUUAUCUACUCUAUUCUUCACUGAGGAAGACCGUCACACCUUCGCACCUGUCCUGUCUCAGGACAGAGCGGAGCUGAGCUGCUGUAGGAUUCAUGACAUGACAUUUAUAAGUUCCUAUUUAACAGGAUCUAAUGUUUAGUUUUUUUUUCUCAACUCUUUAUUUAUA
Seriola dumerili (greater amberjack) is the source of this 262-nucleotide long non-coding RNA. RefSeq lists it as uncharacterized. NCBI's taxonomy places the organism in Eukaryota, Metazoa, Chordata, Actinopteri, Carangiformes, Carangidae. The transcript is spliced from 3 exons. The record is from RefSeq and is a predicted model, not a curated record.